UACGUAGGGUGCGAGCGUUAAUCGGAAUUACUGGGCGUAAAGCGUGCGCAGGCGGUUCUCCAAGUCCGUUGUGAAAGCCCCGGGCUCAACCUGGGAAUGGCAGUGGAAACUAGGGGACUGGAAUCUGGCAGAGGGGGGUGGAAUGCCGCGUGUAGCAGUGAAAUGCGUAGAGAUGCGGCGGAACACCGAUGGCGAAGGCAAUCCCCUGGGCCUGCACUGACGCUCAUGCACGAAAGCGUGGGGAGCAAACAGG
This 253-nucleotide ribosomal RNA is filed under the name uncultured bacterium. RNAcentral describes it as "partial 16S ribosomal RNA". It matches the Rfam family "Bacterial small subunit ribosomal RNA", at positions 524 to 776 of the family's 1533-position model. The record is from RNAcentral.